ACUAAUAUAAAAGAGAAAUUUGAUAAUUAUAAAGAUGAUAUUGAAAUUAGUUAGAAUAUAUACAUUACCAUAAGGAGCUACAAAUUUAGUGGUACAUAUGAUGAAUGGAAUGCAUAAGGUAUUAAGAUAUUUUAUUAUAGGAAAAAUAAUACUUUUUUAAAAUGAUGUACUAAUUAUGGGAUGUAAAGAAGAAGAAAAAGAUAGAACAUUGGAUUCAAAGGGAUGUAGAAAGUUUGUAGCAGAUUAUAUUGAUGAUUGUGAGAAGAU
RNAcentral lists this long non-coding RNA (267 nucleotides) under Physcomitrium patens. Its description in RNAcentral is "long non-coding RNA (PPAT_LNC009563)". Lineage: Eukaryota; Viridiplantae; Streptophyta; Bryopsida; Funariales; Funariaceae. The record is from RNAcentral.